GCAAUCCAACCUCAUUUAACCAUUAUUUCAAAAGAGAUUUGGACUCCAACCUAGGAGUUGCACUUGAGCGUGAUCUUGAAAAGCACUAAGUAUUUGGGGGUACAAGCGAGGACGUGAGGCUGGUACAGGC
Coffea arabica (coffee) is the source of this 130-nucleotide non-coding RNA. NCBI's taxonomy places the organism in Eukaryota, Viridiplantae, Streptophyta, Magnoliopsida, Gentianales, Rubiaceae. The record is from RefSeq and is a predicted model, not a curated record.